Molecule: long non-coding RNA, 928 nt
Organism: Contarinia nasturtii (swede midge)
Lineage: Eukaryota; Metazoa; Arthropoda; Insecta; Diptera; Cecidomyiidae
Exons: 3
Source: RefSeq, a predicted model, not a curated record
AAAUAUGAAAAAAUUGAAAAACAAAUACGGCGAGGGUAAUAACCUUGGCUAUGGGAUCCUCUGAUCACGAAUCGGUCAUUUUUUUGCAAAAAAAAAUAUAAACUGAGAAGUCACGGAUCAACGGCGAAAUAUCAAAAAUGGUUCUGUGAUCCGGAAUGAUCAACAAUUGUCUGAAAAUGAUGUGUGCAAUAUUUAAGCUUUCUAACACAGCAGUAAUUCAUAUCAGAAAUUCAUUUUCGGUACCAAGUGGUGACCUCAUCGAAAUAUACGUAUAUAUACAAAAAAGGAUGAUAAUGGGAUUUAAGUGACACAAUCAUAACCAGUAAGGCGAAUGCUGCAAGAGCUUUCAAGUUUUAGAGGUACAGGAUCCCCUAGGGGCAUUUUAGUAUAUGCAAAUGCCAUUUUAUACGGAAUGUAUGAACAUUUUCCUAUUCAUACAUGAAAUAUACGAAGUAAAGUAUAUAUCUAUCCGCAUCAAAAUCUAUGAAAAUUCGUACAUUUCAUUCGCAACCAUUCGCGAAUGCCGCAUACGUCUUGCGAGAUGCGACAAACUGUCGUGUGACAUUUGUACAUACACAUUGCUGUGUUCAGUUUGUCGUGGCAGUUUCAAACACAGUGUCAUUGUUCUCAACUGAAUUUGAAAAACUGUUGAAAAAAAAAAUACAAGAUUAUUUGUUGAAUAUUAUUUUAGAAGCCGUAUGCGAUUCGAAAAGUGAGAUUUUAGAAAUAAAUUCAGAUAAUAUAAAUAUAAAAGAAAUUGAAAGUUACGUCAAUGAAAAUAAAAACCUUUCACAAGGCACCGUUUACAGUGAUUAUAUUACGAGUGGCAAAGAUUUAUUUACCAUUUUAGAAAAAUUUCACUCAAUAUUACCAAAAAAAUAUCAAUUCGGCUUGAAUCUCUGUCACCUAAUCUGUCACUUUGACUUUU